RNA transcript from Exaiptasia diaphana, 854 nucleotides. It is a transcript of the gene named zinc finger protein 189, with no coding region annotated. Lineage: Eukaryota; Metazoa; Cnidaria; Anthozoa; Actiniaria; Aiptasiidae. The transcript has 4 exons. The record is from RefSeq and is a predicted model, not a curated record.
UUUUAGACUUUCAAUCAAUUUGAUCUGCUGCUUAUUCUUAUUUUGAGUUUUCUCUCGAUUGCUUAUUUUUCAACGUCUUGAUUUCAGCGUUUGCGGGAUGAAGAUAUUAUUCUUGAAUCAAAUCUGGAUAAUUCUUUGUCCGGCUGGGAACACGAAUCGAUUGUCGAAGUAGAGAGAAAAGAUCAGCACGGUAGCGGCUUUUCACCCACGAAGGAACCAUUACACAAAAGAAGUCGUCUUGAAUGUGAAACGUGUCGAAAAUCAUUUUCAAGAAAAGAUGCCUUGAAACGACACGAGAAGGUUCAUCAAAAUGAGAAAAAUCAUCAAUGCGGAAAAUGCGGGAAGAAAUUCAGCCGUCGGGACUACUUAAAAAAGCAUCAGAAAGUUCACGAGAAACAUAGUGUUGAGCGUGAGUAUAAAUGUUUAACCUGCGGGAAAACGUUUAGUUCAGUUGGGCAAUUGAAAUCCCACCAGAAGUAUGCAGUCCACUCUUUGGCCAAACAAACACGUCAAGUUGAGAAACGAAAGCGAAGCCAAGUAGACGAUCAAUCAAAAAAACGUGAUUCCAAACGACCGAGAACUAGUGUCAACGAAGGAGCCAGAACAAGUUGGCAGUCUGAUCCUAUAGUCAUGCCACCCAAUGUUAUUAUCCCCAACGGCGACCAGCAAAUCCGCACUAUGAUAAGUCAACACUGGAGUGAGAUUCGUACCAGACAGAGUCGCAGAAAUAGGUUACAGGAUUGGUAUAACUUUAGGCUGGAAUCCUACGACCGCCAAGUAUUCCAUCAAUACCUCCAACAGAUAUUAGCUGAUCAAACCACUGUAUUCUGGUUGAACAUGUCCUUUGGGUUUGU